CAGCUGAUUGAACCGAUUGUACACAUACAAUUACAAUCAUAUGCAUAUUAUACGAAAAAAAAUCUGAAUAAUCCGUCUGGCCAACACUGAUUGGUCGUUUCAACGACCAUUUUGUUUCUACCUUUGUUAGCUGCAGCUUUGUGAAAUGCAGAAGAUAAUGGAAAGCAUUUGCCUGCAAGAUCUGGUCCUACCGGCAUCCGAGAGCGACAAAAGAAAAAACCAUGGGAGGCUUCCAUUAGAACUAAGGUCAUCGAAUCAUCAACUACGAUUUCCAUCACCAAUGAGAGUCGAGGCCGCUCGAAACGCUGCAGGCUGAGGAUUUCCUUCGAUUUUUUUUACAAGUUUGGUAGUCGAGGGUGCUAUCCUCGCCGCCGUUAAGUGAUGAAAAUUGUACCCAGUGAGUGAUUUUAAAUAGAUAUUUAUAAUCAUGUAUAAAUAAGUUGAUAAUAAAAUUUGUUUUCUUUAAA
This is a long non-coding RNA of Uranotaenia lowii, 467 nucleotides long. RefSeq lists it as uncharacterized. The record is from RefSeq and is a predicted model, not a curated record. Lineage: Eukaryota; Metazoa; Arthropoda; Insecta; Diptera; Culicidae. The transcript is spliced from 3 exons.